GCUUAACACAUGCAAGUCGAGCGAAGCACUUUUGCGGAUUUCUUCGGAUUGAAGCAAUUGUGACUGAGCGGCGGACGGGUGAGUAACGCGUGGGUAACCUGCCUCAUACAGGGGGAUAACAGUUGGAAACGGCUGCUAAUACCGCAUAAGCGCACAGUACCGCAUGGUACCGUGUGAAAAACUCCGGUGGUAUGAGAUGGACCCGCGUCUGAUUAGGUAGUUGGUGGGGUAACGGCCUACCAAGCCGACGAUCAGUAGCCGACCUGAGAGGGUGACCGGCCACAUUGGGACUGAGACACGGCCCAAACUCCUACGGGAGGCAGCAGUGGGGAAUAUUGCACAAUGGGGGAAACCCUGAUGCAGCGACGCCGCGUGAGCGAUGAAGUAUUUCGGUAUGUAAAGCUCUAUCAGCAGGGAAGAAAAUGACGGUACCUGACUAAGAAGCCCCGGCUAACUACGUGCCAGCAGCCGCGGUAAUACGUAGGGGGCAAGCGUUAUCCGGAUUUACUAGGUGUAAAGGGAGCGUAGACGGCAUGGCAAGCCAGAUGUGAAAGCCCGGGGCUCAACCCCGGGACUGCAUUUGGAACUGUCAGGCUAGAGUGUCGGAGAGGAAAGCGGAAUUCCUAGUGUAGCGGUGAAAUGCGUAGAUAUUAGGAGGAACACCAGUGGCGAAGGCGGCUUUCUGGACGAUGACUGACGUUGAGGCUCGAAAGCGUGGGGAGCAAACAAAAUUAGAUACCCUGGUAGUCCACGCCGUAAACGAUGAAUAAUAGGUGUCGGGGGGCAAAGCCAUUCGGUGCCGCAACCAAACGCAAUAAGUAAUCCCCUGGGGAGUACGUUCGCAAGAAAGAAACUCAAAGGAAUUGACGGGGACCCGCACAAGCGGUGGAGCAUGUGGUUUGAUUCGAAGCAACGCGAAGAACCUUACCUGGUCUUGACAUCCCUCUGACCGCUCUUUAAUCGGAGCUUUCCUUCGGGACAGAGGAGACAGGUGGUGCAUGGUUGUCGUCAGCUCGUGUCGUGAGAUGUUGGGUUAAGUCCCGCAACGAGCGCAACCCCUAUCUUUAGUAGCCAGCAUUUAAGGUGGGCACUCUAGAGAGACUGCCAGGGAUAACCUGGAGGAAGGUGGGGAUGACGUCAAAUCAUCAUGCCCCUUAUGACCAGGGCUACACACGUGCUACAAUGGCGUAAACAAAGGGAAGCGAGCCCGCGAGGGGGAGCAAAUCCCAAAAAUAACGUCUCAGUUCGGAUUGUAGUCUGCAACUCGACUACAUGAAGCUGGAAUCGCUAGUAAUCGCGAAUCAGAAUGUCGCGGUGAAUACGUUCCCGGGUCUUGCACACAGCGCCCGUC
Molecule: ribosomal RNA, 1351 nt
Filed under: uncultured bacterium
Lineage: Bacteria
Description: bacterial SSU rRNA
Rfam family: Bacterial small subunit ribosomal RNA
Source: RNAcentral